Long non-coding RNA from Cottoperca gobio, 633 nucleotides. RefSeq lists it as uncharacterized. The record is from RefSeq and is a predicted model, not a curated record. The transcript is spliced from 2 exons. NCBI's taxonomy places the organism in Eukaryota, Metazoa, Chordata, Actinopteri, Perciformes, Bovichtidae.
AGACACAAACAGAGAAACCAGCAGUGGGCACAGAAGGAGAAGAAGCACAUCAAAACAUGUACUGGGGUACAGCUCUGGCCGUAACAACUCGACUUGACUGCACCUGCCUGGUGCCGAAUUUGAGACCUGAACCCGACCCGUGACCAAGGCUUUAUUUUUAUUAUUUCUUCUAAGAAGACACGCCAUUUAAACUGAAAACUAGACUAAGGCUUUUCUAACACAAAAUGUCAAGAAUCUUUUGUUUAAGCUUGACAGGACAAUGUGAGGCUGCUGGGUACUGCCGCUGCUACCUACUGUAUACUUGAGUGUAUCCAUCAUGUUGUCAAUGUAAAUACCUGCAGCCUUUCAUAGCCUGCUCGUGUGGUGUUUAUCUGUGGAAGUACCUUCGUCUCAGUAUAAUGUAUUGCUGCUUAAGUAGCUGUGGAGGUACCUUUGUCUCAGUAUAAUGUAUUGCUGCUUGAGUACCAUUUCUGCUUGUGUAAUACUUCCAUCAGCAGCUGUUCAUCUGAGUUGUUCCCAUCUACAACAGAAAGGAAUCUGUGUGUGAGUGCGUACAAGUGUGUUGAAUGGAUACAUUUGCAGCUGUGAUAUUGUCAAUGGAAUCCUCUAUUAAAAAGAAGUCAACGCCUUGGA